This 231-nucleotide unclassified non-coding RNA is filed under the name fungal sp. RNAcentral's name for it is "partial internal transcribed spacer region". The stretch from base 1 to 48 matches the Rfam family "Eukaryotic small subunit ribosomal RNA", at positions 1784 to 1831 of the family's 1831-position model. The record is from RNAcentral. Lineage: Eukaryota; Fungi.
AAAAGUCGUAACAAGGUUUCCGUAGGUGAACCUGCGGAAGGAUCAUUAACAAUCUAUUCCAAAACGCGUCUUCUUGGAAGCAUUAGAGGGCAUGGUGCGUUUACACGCGCUAUCCUCUAGUACUCCAAGAAUGUACACUACACACUUACAUUACAACAACAACCAAGGAACAUAACCUAAAGUUUAAUAACUAUAUAAAAACAACUUUUAACAAUGGAUCUCUUGGCUCUU